GGGGCGGGGCUAAGCGGCCAUGCUGAGCGGUCGCAUGUGAAACGAGCUCCAUGCAAAAAAGCUCUACACUAGCCAAAAUCAGGGCAAAAACCCAUCAAAAUACGGUUAAGCAACCUGGAGAAGGAAGCCCUAAACUGCAGAGCCAAGCACCAAGCAUCCCGACCGAAAUCAGAGGCUUCUAACCAGGGAUAGACCUGAGGCCCACCAGAGGCCUACUCGGACAAAACGAGGGAGGCGGCCGAUACCUACGCUGACCGCAGCCACUCACCUGGAGGUCUCCCCGGCAAACUCCCUCCCCCCCCGCCGGUGAGGGAUAUCCCGGCAACUACAGCUUGAGACACAUAGGCAAAACUGCAGCGGUGACUGUCCCACACAGCCAGAACAACGCCAGCAAUCAUGGCGAGUAACCCUCUGAACAGCGCCCCGCUGCCCCCUCUGGAAGAAAGGCUGGAUCGCCUGUUUGCCGCCUUUUGGGCUAAAAUAUACCAACAGGGAGACAUAACAGUGGAGACCCCACCAGCAGCAGGCCGGGAAGAGGCCGGGCAGAGACCCGCGGCCCCCUUUCAGGGUAUCGGCAAGGCUGAAAUGGCGGGAAGAAGGAGAUGGACGACUCGACGCAAACCUCGACACCGCAGACCAAGACAAGCAGUGAGUCGUCCUACUCCCCAUCAGUGGCUACCCCUCUGCAGCCUCACCACACUCCCGAAGACCAGUACCCGCCAUGUGGAGAACCCACAUAAGAGUCCACAGAGGCUUAAAAUGGAACCGGACCGUACACCCACAGCGCCACGGAAAACUCCUGCCCACGAGACUGACCUGCCUCACACGCUGAUGAUCAAUGCGGCUCCCAGUCAGACACGCUCUCCAGCUCCAACACCCCUACACAAGCGGGGCAUCGGCUGAAAUGACCACACCAUAGAGGUAUCAGCCCCACACUGCGAGAUGCAGACAGGGUGGAAGAUUGGCGCAGAAGCCGCACAUACUCGCAAGCUGGGACUCUUUCCUGCGAAUACUGAUCUGGUAUUGCCUGACACGCACCCCUAACGUGACUUUGUGUAGCAUCUUAUAAUGUAUAAUGCUCAUCUACUAAACAUGUAUUUUGAUGCAUACUGUGAUAGCUAACGGCCAGGACAGCCUGUACCUUCUAAUCCUGAUAACCUAACACUGACAAACCAUAAUCUUUAACGCAGAUCCAAUGUUGUAUUGGGGCAUUCUGUCC
This is a non-coding RNA of Pelobates cultripes (western spadefoot toad), 1219 nucleotides long. Lineage: Eukaryota; Metazoa; Chordata; Amphibia; Anura; Pelobatidae. The record is from the annotation of a GenBank genome assembly.